This 206-nucleotide unclassified non-coding RNA is filed under the name Hevea brasiliensis (rubber tree). The record is from RNAcentral. Lineage: Eukaryota; Viridiplantae; Streptophyta; Magnoliopsida; Malpighiales; Euphorbiaceae.
AGAGCAUCCCAUGCACAAUGUUGACCCUAUGUUGCUGAAACAGCCCAUCACAAUGGCAUCAUGUUAUCUGAAACAAGAGUAGGGUUAAAGUAGUUUAGAUGGUCACCAAGUUAAGACUUCAGGCUUCAAAUCCCGGUAAGAGUUCUUGAAAAAGAUACGAGGCCACUCUUCAGGCGUCAGCCCCUGGCUCUUUCGUUAUACCAAAG